This is a small nuclear RNA of Sorex araneus (European shrew), 103 nucleotides long. The record is from Ensembl. NCBI's taxonomy places the organism in Eukaryota, Metazoa, Chordata, Mammalia, Eulipotyphla, Soricidae.
GCUUUCAAAGGAGAACCUGUAUUAAAAUCAGAAUUAUACAGAGAAGAUUACUAUGGGCCUUGCAAAGAAUAACAUACAAAUUUAUGAGACAUUCCAUAGUAAA